UAGCUGUGAGCUGUCUGUUUCACAAUGAAAAUCUAAUUUGUCUAGGUAUGGAACAUAUUUUCAUAAUUAGCAAUUGUACAGCAGUUUUUAUCCUUGUAUCUUAAAUUAUUUUACAAACAUCUAUUACUGAAGCUACACAUCUUAGAUAAUGCACCCAUUACCCUCCCACACAGUUGGUUAAUGAAAAAGACAGGAAUAAAACACAGAUGACAUUCACUAUCCUUGUCAAUAGCCUUUCUAAUUUCUAAUAUUUUACUUCUGUUUCCUUUUUGGUUUCAAAUUUCAAUGACAGGGAGCCUUUCUCUUCAACUAUGAGAGGAGGAAAAAGUUAAACCUGAGUCAUCUCUCAGCUUUUUAUCUGUUAAACUAAUAAAUAUGGCAGCUUGACACAGUGUUAAAGGUCAUCUCUGGCCCCUUGAGCCAUGGAGGAAUCAUGCCCUGAGGUGGAGUCUGUGGAUGGGGGUGUAGGACGCGACCUGUGUCCUUUGACAGUAAAUGCGGCAGGAGCGGAAGAGAGUGUGGUGGACGCACCACCAUCCUGAGAAGAAAUUUUCAAUCAAUUACUGGAGCCUGCAGUCAGAUUUUUCGCAAGGUGUGUGUGUGGAGUGGAUGGAGAAAGAGAUCACACAGAAACUGAGAACAGAGCAAGAAGGAGAGGCAAGAAAUCCAAGCAGGAGCCUGUAAACACAGUGUGACCGUGGAAAAAGAUGGUACAUCUGAAGAACUGAGAGGUAAAGUGGAAUGCUCAACAUGACACAGCAAGUCAGUGACAAAGCCUGAAACAGAACCUAGAUACUGACUCCUGGUUCUGAAUCUUAAUCAGAAACACGUAUUUCCUGUCCCUGCAUCUGAUUCCUUAUUUUGAGGUACUGUGCUUUAUUGCCAGCUACAGAGCUAAAUCUUAGUUUUACUAAAGCUCUAAUAUUUCAUCAAGAUCCACCAGCACAAACCCAUGUAUCCUUGUGGAGCACCAUUGAGAUCCUGUAGGGGUGUGAGCUGGCAGAUCCCAAAGCAGGCCUAAGUACUUCAAUUCUGAUUUAGUCCUUAGCUAAAAUGACCAUUGACUGCAAUGGAUGAUUUGCUUGAAUAAAGAAUGUAUUAAAACUGGGCAUAAAGAUUUAACCCAAUGAGGAAGAGAGAAUGCAAUCAUCUCGUCAAUUUUAAAGUGUCUUAUUUGAUUAUAAACUCAACUUCCAGAGCUGACACAGAGAUUUUAAUAUGUAAUGCGUAACUUUCAAAGAAGUGGAAAAGCCUUAAUUUGGAUACUCAGAUCAGCGGUUGCUUCUCAUUACACACACACCACCCUCUUACCCCAGCUAAGCCUCUGCCCACAUAGUUCAAAUGCCUGAGUGGUCUUGGAUGUGCCUCUAUUUUGGCUAGAGAUGUGGACUGGUCUUUGUGGUGGUGGAGGCCACUUAACCCUUUCAGCCACCUGAUUUUAACGGCUUCUUUAUAUUUAUCUUGAAUGUAACAUGACAGUUACGGCUGAUAGACAGCAACAUAGUGUAAACCAUCCACAAAUAGUAUGCUUCCAAGUCUAUUUCUAGCUUUUGCUUUGGUUUGUAAAAAUCUGUGUGUCUACCUUUGAGACUACCUCUAACAAACUGUUGUCAGCUGAGGUGCUUUUACUGGCAGCCCCAAGAUUUUAAUUCUGGGGUAUUAGGAGCAGGGCAUUUUCGGUGGAUGUUCCGUAUCUUUACAACUUGCUCCUAUGGUGGUUUCAGCAGAGCCUGUGUUUGCUGACAUGCAGGUCAAAGUGAAAGAAGCAACUGUUUAGCUAGCUUUUAGCCCUGAGGUAAUGUUAGAUAUAAGAGGGCAUCAUGUAUACAGCAGUCAUUUAUGAGGGUGAUCUGAGCUUUCCUCCCCAUUGCAGUUGCUGGAAACUUAAUUUGAGGAGUCUCUGCUGUUGCAGCCAGGUAUAAUCUGUAAAUUAUGAAUUCACUAAUAUUCAUUUUAAUUUUUUAAAGAUUGAGGCUUGAGAAACUGAUGCAUUUAUUAAAAUACUUAUACAAAAGAGUUUUAAAAAAACCCCUCAAAUAGCUCUAUCCUCUGAUCUUUUAAAGUCUCAAUGACAGUAACUGUUAAGAGGAAAAUUAAAAAUGAAUGAGAAAUACAUGAUAGUUUGCAAUAUAAAAGGCAGAAUUCCUCUACAAUAUGUUAGCCAUUGGAAGCCUUUUAUUCUUGCAGCAGAAAGAGAGAGGCACACAAUACAUUUGACCUUCAGAGUGACCCUUGUUUAGUCUAGCAUGUAAGCAACGUUUUAAGUAUAAAUGUCCACAAUCAUUAAAAGAUAAUAAGACUCUUAUACAGCAAAAAUGGCAAAAUUGAACUCCUGAAUUGAAAUUGAAAUCCAUUAUUGGUAACAGUGGAAACCUGAAUUAUUGCAAGAGGAUAAAUUAAGUAGCUCAAGAUGCAAAUACACCAUCACUUCUAAGAACUAGUGAAAAUACAGCAGUUAUUAACUAUACAUUACUUUACAGUUCUUGCUAAUGUACUUUUUUCAAGUCAGUCUUCCCAUAAACUUAGGCAGAUAGUGUCAGCGUUCCCUCCCCAUUCUGAACUCUGGGGUACAGACGUGGGGACCCGCAUGAAAGACCCCCUAAGCUUAUAUUCCACCAGCUUAGGUUAA
Dermochelys coriacea (leatherback sea turtle) is the source of this 2629-nucleotide long non-coding RNA. RefSeq lists it as uncharacterized. The record is from RefSeq and is a predicted model, not a curated record. The transcript is spliced from 5 exons. Lineage: Eukaryota; Metazoa; Chordata; Testudines; Dermochelyidae.